AGACGAACCGGACAAACGUUAUUCGGAAUCAUUGGGCUUAAAGGGUGCGUAGGCGGUGCGGAAAGUUGGGUGUGAAAUCCCUCGGCUCAACCGAGGAACUGCGCUCAAAACUUCCGUGCUAGAGUGAGACAGAGGUGAGCGGAACUGAUGGUGGAGCGGUGAAAUGCGUUGAUAUCAUCAGGAACACCGGUGGCGAGGCGGCUCACUGGGUCUCUACUGACGCUGAGGCACGAAAGCUAAGGUAGCGAACAGGAUUAGAUACCCCAGUAGUCC
This 273-nucleotide ribosomal RNA is filed under the name uncultured bacterium. RNAcentral's name for it is "partial 16S ribosomal RNA". It matches the Rfam family "Bacterial small subunit ribosomal RNA", at positions 523 to 796 of the family's 1533-position model. The record is from RNAcentral.